This 239-nucleotide unclassified non-coding RNA is filed under the name Hevea brasiliensis (rubber tree). Lineage: Eukaryota; Viridiplantae; Streptophyta; Magnoliopsida; Malpighiales; Euphorbiaceae. The record is from RNAcentral.
AUAUAGAUUUGAAAAUUGGUGAAAACAAAAGGGCUAUAUUGCUACAAGCAAGACACCAGUUCUUGUCUCAAUGUAAGUGUAUGCAUAUGUGUGUAUGUAUGGGUUAGAUGUAGUGUAUUUAUAUACACAAGUAAUUGAAAGAUUUUAAUUUUAAAUGGAUAGUAGUAUGAAAAUAGAAAAAUUUUCCAAUAAUAGAUAUGAAUCAUAAUACAGAUGAAUAAAAGACAACUAUGGUAAUA